RNAcentral lists this long non-coding RNA (1008 nucleotides) under Marmota monax (woodchuck). The stretch from base 963 to 1008 matches the Rfam family "tRNA", at positions 1 to 46 of the family's 71-position model. Lineage: Eukaryota; Metazoa; Chordata; Mammalia; Rodentia; Sciuridae. The record is from RNAcentral.
AAGGCUUCAGGGAUGAUGUAACUCCUGAUUUGAGUUUUGGUUUUUGUUUGUUUUGCAGUGCUGAGGAUGCCAGACAUGCACUGGUAUCACUGAGCCACAUCCCCAACCCCCAAUUUAUGUUUUUUGUUUAUUUUCAGUACAAGGGAUUGAACCUGGGUCCUUGUAUAUGAUAGGCAGAUGCUCUAUCACUGAGCCACACUAUACCACCAGCCUCUAAGUUGAGUUUUGAAGGCCAUUUACUGGGGGAGGGAAGACAGAAGCAUGCAUCAGAAUAGAGAAUUCCAAGCAAAAGGGACAGCAUAAACAAAAGUAGAAGCAGUCUGGGGUGUAAGUGGAGCUACAAACCCCUUAGUUGAGCUGGAAUACAUGCAUUGGUAAGGUGGCAAGUAUUGGGGGAUAAAGCUGAUGAGGUGGGCAGGGACUGAAUCAUAGAGGUCUCUGUCUUAGAUUUUUAUCACUGUGAUAAUAUACCUGAGAAAAAUCAACUCAAAGGGAGCAAAGGUUUAUUUUUGGUUCAUGGUUUCAGAGGUUUCAGUCCGUGUUUGCUUGGUGAUUUUGCUUUGGGUUUGUGACAAAGUAGUGCAUCAUGGUAGAAGAACCUGGGUGGAGGAAACCUGUUAAUUUCAUGGUGACUAGGAAGAGAGAGAGAGGAAGAGACCUGAUCCCAAUAUUUCCUUCUAGGGCACAACCUCAGUGACCUAACUUCCUUCCACUAGGCCUCACCUCCUGUCAGGUUUCACCACCUCCAAGUAGUGCCAUAGGCUUGCAACCAGUGCAGUGGCACACAUUUAUAAUCCCAGUGACUGAGGAGACUGAGGCAGGAAGAUUGAAAAAGUUCAAGGCCAGUAUUGGCAACUUAGCAAGACCCUGUCUUAACAUUAACAAAAAAAGGCUGGGGAUGUAACUCCCCACUACAAACAAACAAACAAAUAAAAAAUAAAAAUAAAAUAAAAUCCAGGGCUGGGGUUGUGGCUCAGUGGUAGAGCACUUGCCUUGCAUGCAUGAGGC